This is a long non-coding RNA of Engraulis encrasicolus (European anchovy), 908 nucleotides long. RefSeq lists it as uncharacterized. The transcript is spliced from 4 exons. The record is from RefSeq and is a predicted model, not a curated record. NCBI's taxonomy places the organism in Eukaryota, Metazoa, Chordata, Actinopteri, Clupeiformes, Engraulidae.
AUAGCAAAACCCUCCGGCAUCUUUCUGGAUCUUUCUGGCAUUUCUCUGGGGAAUGUACGAUUUCAGUUGAUUCCGGCAAAUUAAUGGCAACGUGGGAAUAAUGCCAGAGAUAUUCUGGCUUUUCACUGGAAUGCCACCCAAAUAACAAAAUCGGUGGUGCAGGAGGGCGGAGCUACAGAUACUUUAUGGUUCUUUCCCGGCAAGUUGGAAUAUUACCAGAAAACAUUUUGUUCGGGUGGGGGGGCUUUUUUUUAAAACCUAGGGCCCAAGGCAAAGAUGACAGCGGCCCUGCCCUACGGAGACGGUUGACACGCAUGCUCAUUUAGGUGAGACCGACUUCAUCCUAGGAAACUUUUCGGCGGGACAGUAGGCCUACAGUAGUUUGGUAACGAACCUGGACUCGAUCUACUACUGAACUAGGAUAUUGUGCUGUGUAAAUAAUUUGCAUUGAGGAGAGUCCAUCAGCUCACUAACACGGGUGAGGGACAGGGACCAAAGAGGAGGCUCUACAACAUGAGGAAAGACGGCGAUCCUCAAGCAGUCAGUCCAUGAGCCCACGUCUUCAGGCCAGGGGCCCGAGAGAAAUUUCCAGUGACAUGGAUCAACAGAGAUCCUCAAACAGUCAGUCCAUGUGCCACGUUCCAGCCAGGGACCAAAAGGGGGACUUUCGUCAUGGGGCCAGACAGACAUCCUCAAGCAGUAAGUUGAUUUACAUGGAUGCAUUCUGAAGUUGAAUUGAAGUAGUUAUAUUGUUGUACGCUGGCUACUAUUCAAUGUGUCAAAGUGAAAUGUAUUAAUUGUUGUCCCAUGAAAAAAUGAACUGUAUCAAAUCUCAAUGUAUCGUUCCAGGGAUAAGAGUUCAAGAAUGUUGUUGCAGGUGAAAUGAUCAUUGAAAUUUGCUGAUUCAA